UAGUAUUUGAUCUGCACCAUCCGAUCGCAAUUAAAUAGAGAGUGAAUCUGGACCGUUCAUCACGAUCCAAUCUGGGUCGUCCAUAAGGAUCUAAUCUAGGCCCAUCCGAUCACGUUUGGGGGAGGGAACGCAUCUAGGCCAUUCGUGCACGCGGGAACGGAUCUUGGUCGUUCGAUCAUGGGCACGCAGAUCGCCCGCGUGGCCUCCCACGUGGCGCUGCGUCAGCGUCCACUGCCACACGGCACGUCUUGAUUGAUCGGAGCUGCUGACUGGGCGUCCCACCUGGCAGACCUUUCCUAACUUGUAAUUUGACCCCUGGUUUCUGAUUUUUCUUUUAAAAAUACCCACAAAACCCAAAUUUUCACCUUUUUUCCUAAAAUUGUUUUCAAUUUCUUCCUCCAAUUUUUACUCUAAA
Molecule: long non-coding RNA, 415 nt
Filed under: Carica papaya (papaya)
Lineage: Eukaryota; Viridiplantae; Streptophyta; Magnoliopsida; Brassicales; Caricaceae
Description: long non-coding RNA (CPAP_LNC001929)
Source: RNAcentral